Molecule: transfer RNA, 73 nt
Filed under: Hydrogenophilus thermoluteolus
Lineage: Bacteria; Pseudomonadati; Pseudomonadota; Hydrogenophilia; Hydrogenophilales; Hydrogenophilaceae
Also listed under: 2 other names
Rfam family: tRNA
About the family: Transfer RNA (tRNA) molecules are approximately 80 nucleotides in length. Their secondary structure includes four short double-helical elements and three loops (D, anti-codon, and T loops).
Source: Rfam by way of RNAcentral
GCGCCCAUAGCUCAACGGUUAGAGCAGCGGACUCAUAAUCCGUUGGUUGCAGGUUCGAAUCCUGCUGGGCGCA